AGAGUUUGAUCAUGGCUCAGGAUGAACGCUGGCGGCGUGCCUAAUACAUGCAAGUCGAACGUGCGGAAGAUUUCGGUUUUCCAAAAGUGGCGCACGGGUGAGUAACGCGUAGCUGACCUGCCCCUCGCUGGGGGAUAACACGCCGAAAGGCGUGCUAAUACCGCGUACGCUCACGGGGAUUUAGAAGCCUGUGAGGAAAGCGUUUGUAGCGGCGAGGGAGGGGGCUGCGUACCAUCAGCUCGUUGGUGAGGUAAUGGCUCACCAAGGCAACGACGGUUCGGGGACCUGAGAGGGUGACCCCCCACACUGGCACUGAGAUACGGGCCAGACUCCUACGGGAGGCAGCAGUAAGGAAUAUUGCACAAUGGGCGCAAGCCUGAUGCAGCAACGCCGCGUGUAGGAUGAAGGCUUUCGGGUUGUAAACUACUUUUGUGAGGGACGAGCAAGGACGGUACCUCACGAAUAAGUCUCGGCUAACUACGUGCCAGCAGCCGCGGUA
Molecule: ribosomal RNA, 499 nt
Filed under: uncultured bacterium
Lineage: Bacteria
Description: bacterial SSU rRNA
Rfam family: Bacterial small subunit ribosomal RNA
Source: RNAcentral